This is a long non-coding RNA of Microcebus murinus (gray mouse lemur), 656 nucleotides long. RefSeq lists it as uncharacterized. Lineage: Eukaryota; Metazoa; Chordata; Mammalia; Primates; Cheirogaleidae. The record is from RefSeq and is a predicted model, not a curated record.
GUAACAAUGAGUAGGGGGCACAGCAGCACGUGGUUUGUGAGCUCCUUUAGAGGGACUGAUGGGGAGGGAGUUUCAGAGAAGCCUUCAGAGGUGAUGAAAACGAAAAGUUCCCGAGACCAGGGAGGGUGAACCAGGUGUGACUCCACACUCCUCCCCGUCCUGCCCGGGCGUCUGUAUGCCAACACUGUUUUAUCAUGUCACAUUCCUCCUGACACUUCUCCUUCCCUUGGAGGGACCAUUCCAUUAGUUACGCAUCAACUAUCAGAAACUCGUGCAGCGCUGGAGUUGAAGACCAAGUCACUUGUGCCAGAUGAAGACAAAGUGCUUAUUUUCCUUCAGGAAUAGAAGAAAACGAUUCUGAGAAACAGUAGGAAGCUCAGAAAAUUAAAUCCAGUAUCUCAACCAGGGAGGGACAUGAAACUUGUAAUGCAAGGCUGAGAAACACCUGAAUCUUAAUUAAGUACCAUCAUCCGAAAUCUACUAUCCUGUAGAAAAUACUUAAAUGACAUCCACGUGAGAAAAACCACAGCAAGUGACGUCAUCAUUGCCUUCCAGUGGGUGCGAUCUAUCCCAGGAAUGUAGAAGGAACAGUGGAGGUGUGGCCAUCGCUGCCCAGUUCCUGCAGACUUUCCACCUUGGCCAGAAGGUGAAGUUGU